CAUGGUAGUUUUGAUAUCGACAAAAUGCGGGCUGCUAAAGAAGAUUUUGGUUUUGCUCCUGGCGGUUUCUCUGGAGGAUUCACUUCCUCUGAUAGUCGUGUUGAUGAUUCUCAGCCUAUUCUCAGCUCUGGAGCUAGCCGUAAUUCAUUGACUUCCGGAAGGUCCAGACAAAAUUAUGCGCCCAUCGGAAACCUGUAUACAGUUGCCGAAGACUUUGAUACAGGUGCCGAAGACCUGGUCUUCCCCA
This is a long non-coding RNA of Phalaenopsis equestris, 247 nucleotides long. RefSeq lists it as uncharacterized. The record is from RefSeq and is a predicted model, not a curated record. NCBI's taxonomy places the organism in Eukaryota, Viridiplantae, Streptophyta, Magnoliopsida, Asparagales, Orchidaceae. The transcript has 3 exons.